AGGAUGAAUGCUGGCGGCGCGCCUAACACAUGCAAGUCGAGCGGAAAGGCCCUUCGGGGUACUCGAGCGGCGGACGGCUGAGUAACGCGUGGGAACAUGCCCCAAAGUGAGGAAUAACUGCCCGAAAGGGUAGCUAAUGCCGCAUAUGAUCUUCGGAUUAAAGGAUUUAUCCGCUUUGGGAGUGGCCCGCGUACGAUUAGGUAGUUGGUGAGGUAAAGGCUCACCAAGCCCACGAUCGUUAACUGGUCUGAGAGGAUGAUCAGUCAGACUGGAACUGAGACACGGUCCAGACUCCUACGGGAGGCAGCAGUGAGGAAUCUUCCACAAUGGGCGAAAGCCUGAUGGAGCGACGCCGCGUGCAGGAUGAAGGCCUUCGGGUUGUAAACUGCUUUUAUAAGUGAAGAAUAUGACGGUAACUUAUGAAUAAGCACCGGCUAACUACGCGCCAGCAGCCGC
This 456-nucleotide ribosomal RNA is filed under the name uncultured bacterium. RNAcentral's name for it is "SSU rRNA". It matches the Rfam family "Bacterial small subunit ribosomal RNA", at positions 26 to 518 of the family's 1533-position model. The record is from RNAcentral.